This 579-nucleotide ribosomal RNA is filed under the name Streptomyces sp. RNAcentral describes it as "bacterial SSU rRNA". It matches the Rfam family "Bacterial small subunit ribosomal RNA", at positions 124 to 717 of the family's 1533-position model. Lineage: Bacteria; Bacillati; Actinomycetota; Actinomycetes; Kitasatosporales; Streptomycetaceae. The record is from RNAcentral.
AUCUGCCCUUCACUCUGGGACAAGCCCUGGAAACGGGGUCUAAUACCGGAUAACACUCUGUCCCGCAUGGGACGGGGUUGAAAGCUCCGGCGGUGAAGGAUGAGCCCGCGGCCUAUCAGCUUGUUGGUGGGGUAAUGGCCUACCAAGGCGACGACGGGUAGCCGGCCUGAGAGGGCGACCGGCCACACUGGGACUGAGACACGGCCCAGACUCCUACGGGAGGCAGCAGUGGGGAAUAUUGCACAAUGGGCGAAAGCCUGAUGCAGCGACGCCGCGUGAGGGAUGACGGCCUUCGGGUUGUAAACCUCUUUCAGCAGGGAAGAAGCGAAAGUGACGGUACCUGCAGAAGAAGCGCCGGCUAACUACGUGCCAGCAGCCGCGGUAAUACGUAGGGCGCAAGCGUUGUCCGGAAUUAUUGGGCGUAAAGAGCUCGUAGGCGGCUUGUCACGUCGGAUGUGAAAGCCCGGGGCUUAACCCCGGGUCUGCAUUCGAUACGGGCUAGCUAGAGUGUGGUAGGGGAGAUCGGAAUUCCUGGUGUAGCGGUGAAAUGCGCAGAUAUCAGGAGGAACACCGGUGGCG